UGUACCUGUGUCCUAAAGACAUUGCUCCUCACUUCCAGCUUUGCAAUGUGAUGCCUGGCAUGCAGCAUGUGAUACUGAAGGAGUUAAAGGUGGGACACAAAGACCAGUCAGUUCCAGCUUGAUCUACAGACUGGUCAGGACCUAUUGAGCAACAGAUAUAUUUGGACUUCCUGCUAAGCCCAGAGAAAACGCUUGGGACGCCAAGUUGGAUGGCAGCUCCUGCAAACCUGUGACAGAUGGGAGGGCUCUCAGAAACCACGCUAGCAGCUGGCAGCUUUAAAGAGCGGCCUUGACACC
Nothoprocta perdicaria is the source of this 297-nucleotide long non-coding RNA. RefSeq lists it as uncharacterized. The record is from RefSeq and is a predicted model, not a curated record. The transcript is spliced from 3 exons. Lineage: Eukaryota; Metazoa; Chordata; Aves; Tinamiformes; Tinamidae.